This 448-nucleotide ribosomal RNA is filed under the name uncultured bacterium. Its description in RNAcentral is "bacterial SSU rRNA". It matches the Rfam family "Bacterial small subunit ribosomal RNA", at positions 355 to 796 of the family's 1533-position model. The record is from RNAcentral.
UGGGGAAUCUUGCGCAAUGGGCGAAAGCCUGACGCAGCGACGCCGCGUGAGGGAGGAAGGCCUUCGGGUUGUAAACCUCUUUCAGGAGGGACGAAGCUACUCGGGUGAAUAGCCCAGAGGGUGACGGUACCUCCAGAAGAAGCCCCGGCUAACUACGUGCCAGCAGCCGCGGUAAUACGUAGGGGGCAAGCGUUGUCCGGAUUUACUGGGCGUAAAGAGCGUGUAGGCGGCCAAACAGGUCCGUUGUGAAAACUGGAGGCUUAACUUCCAGACGUCGACGGAAACCGUAUGGCUAGAGUCCGGAAGAGGAGAGUGGAAUUCCUGGUGUAGCGGUGAAAUGCGCAGAUAUCAGGAAGAACACCAAUGGCGAAGGCAGCUCUCUGGGACGGUACUGACGCUGAGACGCGAAAGCGUGGGGAGCGAACAGGAUUAGAUACCCGGGUAGUCC